AAUGAACGUUGGCGGCGUGGAUUAGGCAUGCAAGUCGUACGCAUAGCUUCGGCUAUGAGUGGCGCAAAGGGUGAGUAAAUGCGAAGGUAACCAACCCUGGUAGUUGGGCAUAGCCGCGGGAAACUGCGGGUAAUUCCCAGCGACGUCACGAGAUGGCAUCAUCUUGUGACCAAAGGUGUGAUUCCGCUCUAGGACGGGCCUUCGUGGGUAUUAGGUAGUUGGUGAGGUAACGGCUCACCAAGCCGACGAUGCCUACCGGGUGUGAGAGCAUGACCCGGCACACUGGAACUGAGACACUGUCCAGACACCUACGGGUGGCUGCAGUCGAGAAUCUUACGGCAAUGGGCGAAAGCCUGACCGAGCGACGCC
RNAcentral lists this ribosomal RNA (369 nucleotides) under uncultured bacterium. RNAcentral's name for it is "bacterial SSU rRNA". It matches the Rfam family "Bacterial small subunit ribosomal RNA", at positions 29 to 398 of the family's 1533-position model. The record is from RNAcentral.